GGGACACGUGGUAUCCUGUCUGAAUAUGGGGGGACCAUCCUCCAAGGCUAAAUACUCCUGACUGACCGAUAGUGAACCAGUACCGUGAGGGAAAGGCGAAAAGAACCCCGGCGAGGGGAGUGAAAAAGAACCUGAAACCGUGUACGUACAAGCAGUGGGAGCACAGAGCAAUCUGUGUGACUGCGUACCUUUUGUAUAAUGGGUCAGCGACUUAUAUUCUGUAGCAAGGUUAACCGAAUAGGGGAGCCGAAGGGAAACCGAGUCUUAACUGGGCGUUAAGUUGCAGGGUAUAGACCCGAAACCCGGUGAUCUAGCCAUGGGCAGGUUGAAGGUUGGGUAACACUAACUGGAGGACCGAACCGACUAAUGUUGAAAAAUUAGCGGAUGACUUGUGGCUGGGGGUGAAAGGCCAAUCAAACCGGGAGAUAGCUGGUUCUCCCCGAAAGCUAUUUAGGUAGCGCCUCGUGAAUUCAUCUCCGGGGGUAGAGCACUGUUUCGGCAAGGGGGUCAUCCCGACUUACCAACCCGAUGCAAACUGCGAAUACCGGAGAAUGUUAUCACGGGAGACACACGGCGGGUGCUAACGUCCGUCGUGAAGAGGGAAACAACCCAGACCGCCAGCUAAGGUCCCAAAGUCAUGGUUAAGUGGGAAACGAUGUGGGAAGGCCCAGACAGCCAGGAUGUUGGCUUAGAAGCAGCCAUCAUUUAAAGAAAGCGUAAUAGCUCACUGGUCGAGUCGGCCUGCGCGGAAGAUGUAACGGGGCUAAACCAUGCACCGAAGCUGCGGCAGCGACGCUGAUGCGUUGUUGGGUAGGGGAGCGUUCUGUAAGCCUGUGAAGGUGUGCUGUGAGGCAUGCUGGAGGUAUCAGAAGUGCGAAUGCUGACAUAAGUAACGAUAAAGCGGGUGAAAAGCCCGCUCGCCGGAAGACCAAGGGUUCCUGUCCAACGUUAAUCGGGGCAGGGUGAGUCGACCCCUAAGGCGAGGCCGAAAGGCGUAGUCGAUGGGAAACAGGUUAAUAUUCCUGUACUUGGUGUUACUGCGAAGGGGGGACGGAGAAGGCUAUGUUGGCCGGGCGACGGUUGUCCCGGUUUAAGCGUGUAGGCUGGUUUUCCAGGCAAAUCCGGAAAAUCAAGGCUGAGGCGUGAUGACGAGGCACUACGGUGCUGAAGCAACAAAUGCCCUGCUUCCAGGAAAAGCCUCUAAGCAUCAGGUAACAUCAAAUCGUACCCCAAACCGACACAGGUGGUCAGGUAGAGAAUACCAAGGCGCUUGAGAGAACUCGGGUGAAGGAACUAGGCAAAAUGGUGCCGUAACUUCGGGAGAAGGCACGCUGAUAUGUAGGUGAAGUCCCUCGCGGAUGGAGCUGAAAUCAGUCGAAGAUACCAGCUGGCUGCAACUGUUUAUUAAAAACACAGCACUGUGCAAACACGAAAGUGGACGUAUACGGUGUGACGCCUGCCCGGUGCCGGAAGGUUAAUUGAUGGGGUCAGCGCAAGCGAAGCUCUUGAUCGAAGCCCCGGUAAACGGCGGCCGUAACUAUAACGGUCCUAAGGUAGCGAAAUUCCUUGUCGGGUAAGUUCCGACCUGCACGAAUGGCGUAAUGAUGGCCAGGCUGUCUCCACCCGAGACUCAGUGAAAUUGAACUCGCUGUGAAGAUGCAGUGUACCCGCGGCAAGACGGAAAGACCCCGUGAACCUUUACUAUAGCUUGACACUGAACAUUGAGCCUUGAUGUGUAGGAUAGGUGGGAGGCUUUGAAGUGUGGACGCCAGUCUGCAUGGAGCCGACCUUGAAAUACCACCCUUUAAUGUUUGAUGUUCUAACGUUGACCCGUGAUCCGGGUUGCGGACAGUGUCUGGUGGGUAGUUUGACUGGGGCGGUCUCCUCCUAAAGAGUAACGGAGGAGCACGAAGGUUGGCUAAUCCUGGUCGGACAUCAGGAGGUUAGUGCAAUGGCAUAAGCCAGCUUGACUGCGAGCGUGACGGCGCGAGCAGGUGCGAAAGCAGGUCAUAGUGAUCCGGUGGUUCUGAAUGGAAGGGCCAUCGCUCAACGGAUAAAAGGUACUCCGGGGAUAACAGGCUGAUACCGCCCAAGAGUUCAUAUCGACGGCGGUGUUUGGCACCUCGAUGUCGGCUCAUCACAUCCUGGGGCUGAAGUAGGUCCCAAGGGUAUGGCUGUUCGCCAUUUAAAGUGGUACGCGAGCUGGGUUUAGAACGUCGUGAGACAGUUCGGUCCCUAUCUGCCGUGGGCGCUGGAGAACUGAGGGGGGCUGCUCCUAGUACGAGAGGACCGGAGUGGACGCAUCACUGGUGUUCGGGUUGUCAUGCCAAUGGCACUGCCCGGUAGCUAAAUGCGGAAGAGAUAAGUGCUGAAAGCAUCUAAGCACGAAACUUGCC
Molecule: ribosomal RNA, 2396 nt
Filed under: Escherichia coli
Lineage: Bacteria; Pseudomonadati; Pseudomonadota; Gammaproteobacteria; Enterobacterales; Enterobacteriaceae
Description: partial 23S ribosomal RNA
Rfam family: Bacterial large subunit ribosomal RNA
Source: RNAcentral